Molecule: ribosomal RNA, 744 nt
Filed under: uncultured bacterium
Lineage: Bacteria
Description: bacterial SSU rRNA
Rfam family: Bacterial small subunit ribosomal RNA
Source: RNAcentral
AGAGUUUGAUCAUGGCUCAGAACGAACGCUGGCGGCAGGCCUCAAACAUGCAAGUCUAGGGGGUGUAGCAAUACAUCACCGGCGGACGGGUGCGUAACGCGUGGGAAUGUACCUAUUGGUUCGGAACAACUGAGGGAAACUUCAGCUAAUACCGAAUGUGCCCGAAAGGGGAAAGAUUUAUCGCCAAUGGAUCAGCCCGCGUUCGAUUAGCUAGUUGGUGAGGUAAUGGCUCACCAAGGCGACGAUCGAUAGCUGUUCUGAGAGGAAGAUCAGCCACACUGGGACUGAGACACGGCCCAGACUCCUACGGGAGGCAGCAGUUGGGAAUCUUGGACAAUGGGGGAAACCCUGAUCCAGCCAUGCCGCGUGAGUGAUGAAGGCCUUCGGGUUGUAAAACUCUUUCGCGCACGACGAUAAUGACGGUAGUGCGAGAAGAAGCUCCGGCUAACUUCGUGCCAGCAGCCGCGGUAAUACGAAGGGGGCUAGCGUUGUUCGGAAUUACUGGGCGUAAAGCGCGCGCAGGCGGUCUUCCAAGUCAGUGGUGAAAGCCCGGAGCUCAACUCCGGAACUGCCAUUGAAACUGUUAGACUUGAGGACGAGAGAGGUGAGUGGAAUUCCCAGUGUAGAGGUGAAAUUCGUAGAUAUUGGGAAGAACACCGGUGGCGAAGGCGGCUCACUGGCUCGUUUCUGACGCUCAGGCGCGACAGCGUGGGGAUCAAACAGGAUUAGAUACCCUAGUAGUCC